GACGAACGCUGGCGGCGUGCUUAACACAUGCAAGUCGAACGGAAAGGCCCUGCUUUUGUGUGGUGCUCGAGUGGCGAACGGGUGAGUAACACGUGAGUAACCUGCCCUUGACUUUGGGAUAACUUCAGGAAACUGGGGCUAAUACCGGAUAGGAGCUCCUGCUGCAUGGUGGGGGUUGGAAAGUUUCGGCGGUUGGGGAUGGACUCGCGGCUUAUCAGCUUGUUGGUGGGGUAGUGGCUUACCAAGGCUUUGACGGGUAGCCGGCCUGAGAGGGUGACCGGCCACAUUGGGACUGAGGUACGGCGCAGACUGCUACGGGAGGCAGCGGUGGGGAGUAUUGCACAGUGGGGGGAAGCCUGAUGCAGCGGCGCCGGGUGCGGGAUGACGGCCUUCGGGUUGUAAACCGCUUUCGCAUGUGACGAAGCGUGAGUGACGGUAAUGAGUAAAGAAGCACCGGCUAACUACGUG
RNAcentral lists this ribosomal RNA (468 nucleotides) under uncultured bacterium. Its description in RNAcentral is "partial 16S ribosomal RNA". It matches the Rfam family "Bacterial small subunit ribosomal RNA", at positions 28 to 507 of the family's 1533-position model. The record is from RNAcentral.